GGCUUGGUAAUUGGAAUGAGGGAGAGUUAAACGGACCAUCGAGUAUCCAUUGGAGGGCAAGUCUGGUGCCAGCAGCUGCGGUAAUACCAGCUCCAAUAGCGUAUAUUAAAGUUGUUGCAGUUAAAAAGCUCGUAGUUGGACUUGUGUGCGCUGUCCGCGGGUGGCCUGCGCCCAUAAGGGCGUUUCGGUUCGGCCCCGGUGGCGCCUUGAAAUCUGCAGCUGGGGGGACGUUGGCCUUAACUGGUCGGCGACCGCACGCCGGCUGCUCGGUUACUGUGAGAAAAUUAGAGUGUUCAAGGCAGGCAUUGGGUGCAAUUGAAUACAUUAGCAUGGAAUAAUAAAAUAUGGCUCCUGCCGUAUUUUGUUGGUUUUGACUGGUGGGAGUAAUGAUUGAUAGGGACGGUUGGGGGUGCUAGUAUUGAGCGGCCAGAGGUGAAAUUCAUGGAUUCGCUCAAGACUAACUUAUGCGAAAGCAUUCACCAAGGACGUCCUCUUUAAUCAAGAACGAAAGUUGGGGGAUCGAAGACGAUCAGAUACCGUCGUAGUCUCAACCAUAAACUAUGUCGACUUGGGAUCGGCGGUAGUUUUUUCAUUAAGACACUGUCGGGACCACGGGAGAAAUCAAAGUGUCUGGACUCUGGGGGAAGUAUGGUCGCAAGGCUGAAACUUGAAGGAAUUGACGGAAGGGCACCACCAGGAGUGGAGCCUGCGGCUUAAUUUGACCCAACACGGGGAAACUUACCAGGUCCAGAGAUGUAGAGGAUUGACAGAUUGAAGCUCUUUCUUGAUCACUUCGGUGGUGGUGCAUGGCCGUUCUUAGUUGGUGGAGUGAUUUGUCUGGUUAAUUCCGUUAACGAACGAGACCUCAGCCUGCUAGUGUAGUCGGCUGGAUUGCCUUUGGCGAUCCGUGAUUUCGACUUCUUAGAGGGACAAUCGACGCGCAGUCGAUGGAAGUUUGAGGCAAUAACAGGUCUGUGAUGCCCUUAGAUGUUCUGGGCCGCACGCGCGCUACACUGCUGGGCUCAGCGAGUUUUACUUGGCCGAGAGGCCCGGUUAAUCUUGUGAAAUCCCAGCGUGCUUGGGCUCGCCUCCUGCAACUGGAGGCGCCAACGAGGAAUUCCUAGUAGACGCAGGUCAUCAACCUGCAUCGAUUACGUCCCUGCCCUUUGUACACACCGCCCGUCGUUCCAUAAGAGUGAGGCAUCCGGUGAAUUCUCGGGAGAGCCUGGGCGUGGCCAGCAAUGGUCUGCUCGGGUUUGAACUUGCAUAAACUUGGUGCCUAUGAUUAGGG
RNAcentral lists this ribosomal RNA (1291 nucleotides) under metagenome. Its description in RNAcentral is "SSU rRNA". It matches the Rfam family "Eukaryotic small subunit ribosomal RNA", at positions 499 to 1783 of the family's 1831-position model. The record is from RNAcentral.